This 87-nucleotide transfer RNA is filed under the name Gammaproteobacteria bacterium. RNAcentral describes it as "tRNA-Leu". It matches the Rfam family "tRNA". From Rfam's summary of the family: Transfer RNA (tRNA) molecules are approximately 80 nucleotides in length. The record is from RNAcentral. Lineage: Bacteria; Pseudomonadati; Pseudomonadota; Gammaproteobacteria. RNAcentral also lists the same sequence under 1 other name.
GCCGGGGUGGCGAAACUGGUAGACGCGCCAGACUCAAAAUCUGGUUGGGGAAACUCAGUGUCGGUUCGAUUCCGACCCUCGGCACCA